Molecule: ribosomal RNA, 482 nt
Filed under: uncultured bacterium
Lineage: Bacteria
Description: bacterial SSU rRNA
Rfam family: Bacterial small subunit ribosomal RNA
Source: RNAcentral
AUUGAACGCUGGCGGAAUGCUUUACACAUGCAAGUCGAACGGCAGCACGGGGCAACCUGGUGGCGAGUGGCGAACGGGUGAGUAAUACAUCGGAACGUGCCCAAUCGUGGGGGAUAACGUAGCGAAAGUUACGCUAAUACCGCAUACGAUCUACGGAUGAAAGCGGGGAUCGCAAGACCUCGCGCGAGUGGAGCGGCCGAUGUCAGAUUAGGUAGUUGGUGGGGUAAAGGCUCGCCAAGCCAACGAUCUGUAGCUGGUCUGAGAGGACGACCAGCCACACUGGAACUGAGACACGGUCCAGACUCCUACGGGAGGCAGCAGUGGGGAAUUUUGGACAAUGGGCGCAAGCCUGACCCAGCCAUUCCGCGUGCAGGAUGAAGGCCUCGGUUGUAAACUGCUUUGUACGGAACGAAACGGACGAGCUCUAAUACAGUUUGCUAAUGACGGUACCGUAAGAAUAAGCACCGGCUAACUACGUGCCA